This 1613-nucleotide ribosomal RNA is filed under the name Clostridioides difficile. Its description in RNAcentral is "bacterial LSU rRNA". It matches the Rfam family "Bacterial large subunit ribosomal RNA", at positions 1231 to 2856 of the family's 2925-position model. The record is from RNAcentral. Lineage: Bacteria; Bacillati; Bacillota; Clostridia; Peptostreptococcales; Peptostreptococcaceae.
GGGGAGCUUCCCAUACGGGUUGAAGCAUGACCGUAAGGACAUGUGGACAGUAUGGGAGUGAGAAUGUUGGCAUGAGUAGCGAGAUGUGGGUGGGAAUCCCACAGGCCGUAAACCCAAGGUUUCCAGGGGAAGGUUCGUCCACCCUGGGUUAGUCGGGACCUAAGCUGAGGCCGAAAGGCGUAGGUGAUGGACAACAGGUUGAUAUUCCUGUACUACCGAUAACCGUUUGAGAGAAGGGAUGACACAGUAGGAUAAGCUAAGCACACUGUUGGUUAUGUGUGCCCAAGCAUUGAGGCAGUCAAAGUAGGCAAAUCCGCUUUGAUAAUGCUGGGAUGUGAUGGGGAGCGAAAUUUAGUAGCGAAGUAGCUGAUUUCACACUGUCAAGAAAAGUCUCUAUCGAGGUUAAAGGUACCCGUACCGCAAACCGACACAGGUGGGUGAGGAGAGUAUCCUAAGGCCAGCGAGAGAACUGUUGUUAAGGAACUCGGCAAAAUGACCCCGUAACUUAGGGAUAAGGGGUGCCACCAUCAGGUGGCCGCAGAGAAUAGGCCCAAGCGACUGUUUACCAAAAACAUAGGUUUCUGCUAAGUCGCAAGACGAUGUAUAGGAGCUGACGCCUGCCCGGUGCUGGAAGGUUAAGGGGAUCUGUUAGAGCAAUCGAAGCAGUGAACUUAAGCCCCAGUAAACGGCGGCCGUAACUAUAACGGUCCUAAGGUAGCGAAAUUCCUUGUCGGGUAAGUUCCGACCCGCACGAAAGGCGUAACGAUUUGGGCACUGUCUCAACAACAGACUCGGUGAAAUUGUAAUUCCGGUGAAGAUGCCGGAUACCUGCGACAGGACGGAAAGACCCCAUGGAGCUUUACUGUAGCUUGACAUUGGGUCUUGGUACUACAUGUACAGGAUAGGUGGGAGGCUUUGAAACCAGGACGCCAGUUUUGGCGGAGCCAUCCUUGGGAUACCACCCUUGUAGUACUGGGACUCUAACCAUAGGCCAUGAAUCUGGUCUUGGGACACUGUCAGGUGGGCAGUUUGACUGGGGCGGUCGCCUCCCAAAAGGUAACGGAGGCGCUCAAAGGUUCUCUCAGUACGGUCGGAAAUCGUACGUAGAGUGUAAAGGCAAAAGAGAGCUUGAUUGCAAGACAUACAGGUCGAGCAAGGAUGAAAAUCGGACUUAGUGAUCCGGUGGUUCUGCGUGGAAGGGCCAUCGCUCAACGGAUAAAAGCUACCCUGGGGAUAACAGGCUUAUCUCCCCCAAGAGUCCACAUCGACGGGGAGGUUUGGCACCUCGAUGUCGGCUCAUCACAUCCUGGGGCUGUAGUAGGUCCCAAGGGUUGGGCUGUUCGCCCAUUAAAGUGGUACGCGAGCUGGGUUCAGAACGUCGUGAGACAGUUCGGUCCCUAUCCGUCGCAGGCGUAGGAAAUUUGAGAAGACCUGUCCUUAGUACGAGAGGACCGGGAUGGACGUACCUCUGGUGUACCAGUUGUCCUGCCAAGGGCAUGGCUGGGUAGCUAUGUACGGAAUGGAUAAGCGCUGAAAGCAUCUAAGCGCGAAGCCAACUUCAAGAUAAGAUUUCCCACCGCAAGGGUAAGACCCCAGAAAGACUAUCUGGUUGA